UUUUUUCACUGCCAUAUCUACAAAGCAUAAGCAACAAUUUCUCUCUUCGCAGCCCACACUCUUUCUACUCUAUUGGGAUUUUUUUUUACCAUCCUACAAAUCUAGAAAACAACUUUUUCACAGAAGAAUACAAUACAGAUAUCCAUUUGAAGAAGCGGUUGUUGCAGAUCUAAAGGUAUACGCUCUACAUGCUAACUCAAAAAUAUUAGUAUCAAUUUUUUUCAUUCUAAAUUGCUUUGUUAAUGAUUUUUUGUUUCCACAGAUUCAGAUCGGCGAAUAUAUUAGAUCUACAUAACUACAUUGAAUCACAUCUUACAUCCACAAAAAAAAAGUUAAGUUUCCAAAAAAUGUUAAUCAUCUAAAUCUACAUUUAUGUAACUAAAAAACAUUUCAAUCCUCUAUAUCGCAGAUUUUCGAAGAAGUAGUGUUCAUCAUUUACAUCUACAACUACCUAAUAUAAGCAG
This 464-nucleotide long non-coding RNA is filed under the name Salvia miltiorrhiza (redroot sage). RNAcentral's name for it is "long non-coding RNA (SMIL_LNC007009)". The record is from RNAcentral. Lineage: Eukaryota; Viridiplantae; Streptophyta; Magnoliopsida; Lamiales; Lamiaceae.